Molecule: non-coding RNA, 1343 nt
Organism: Callithrix jacchus (white-tufted-ear marmoset)
Lineage: Eukaryota; Metazoa; Chordata; Mammalia; Primates; Cebidae
Source: RefSeq, a predicted model, not a curated record
ACUGUGGAUACCUCCCAUGAGGACAUGAUUCACGAUGCCCAGAUGGACUACUGUGGCACCUGCCUGGCCAUCUGCUCAUCAGACAUGUCUGUCAGAAUCUUUGGCGUGCGUAGUGGAGGGCAGAUCCUCAUCGCCGACCUCAGAGGUCAUGAGGGUCCUGUGUGGCAAGUGGCCUGGGCUCACCCAGCGUCCUGGCAUCCUGUGACCAGAAAGUCAUUAUCUGGAGAGAAAAAAAUGGCACCUGGGAGAAGAGCCACAAUCAUGCGGGACUCGACUCCUCAGUGAACUCAGUGUGCUGGGCCCCCCAUGACUACAGCCUGAUCCUGGCCUGUGGGAGCUUGGCUGGGGCCAUCUCCCUGCUGACUUACACAGUGGAAGGCCAACAGUAAGUAAAGAAGAUCAACAAUGCUCACACCAUUGGCUGAAAUACCAUCAGCUGGGCCCCAGCUGUUGUACCUGGAAGCCUCACAGACCAGCCACUGGGGCAGAAACCCAAUUACAUGAAGAAAUUUGCAUCAGGUGGCUGUGACAACCUCAUUAAGCUGUGGAAGGAGGAGGAGGACAGUCAGUGGAAGGAGGAGCAGAAGCUGGAAGCGCAGAGUGCCUGGUUUCAAGACGUGGCCUGGGCCCCUUCUGUCGGCCUGCCCACCAGCACCAUCCCCAGCUGCUCCCGGGACGGCCGUGUGUUCAUUGGACCUGUAAAACUGUGAUGGUGCCUCAGGCAACACAUGGUCCCCAAAAUUAAUACACAAGUUCAACGAUGUGGUGUGGUAUGUGAGCUUUUGCAUCACAACCAACAUCCUGGCGGUCUCUGGUGGAGACAAUAAGGUGACCCUGUGGAAGGAGCCAGUUGAUGGGCAGUGGGUAUGCAUCAGUGACAUCAACAAGGGCCAGGGCUCCAUGUCAGCGUCAGUCACAGAGGGCCAGCAGGACAAGCAGUGACAAGACAGAUGGGGCCUGGCUCCCCACCCGCCAGCUCCAGGUCUGUCCCUUCCUGGACCAACUGACCAAACAACUGGGAAGAGCCCCCAACUCCAACAGGAUCAUUUUCCCAGGAGGAGUUCCAGAUGCAGCCACAGGUUGAUCAUCUGCCUUAACACGAUCAGAGAUGCUUUAUAAUCUACUGUCCAGCUGAAAGCACUCAUGUUAUGAGGAAGAAACUACAAAUGACAUUCAAAUCUAUUUUAAACUAUUUUGGGCCAUUUUUAUGUACCUUUGGGUUCAGACCUUAUUUGGGGUGUUUUGUUUUCAAAGUAACUAAAUAAAGUCAUAUUGCUUAUUUAAAAAAAAAAAGAAAGGAAAAAAGAAAAGUAUUUUGCUUAAUUUGAACCAUUUCAAACUUG